RNAcentral lists this ribosomal RNA (549 nucleotides) under uncultured Glomus. RNAcentral's name for it is "SSU rRNA". It matches the Rfam family "Eukaryotic small subunit ribosomal RNA", at positions 548 to 1098 of the family's 1831-position model. Lineage: Eukaryota; Fungi; Glomeromycota; Glomeromycetes; Glomerales; Glomeraceae. The record is from RNAcentral.
UUGGAGGGCAAGUCUGGUGCCAGCAGCCGCGGUAAUUCCAGCUCCAAUAGCGUAUAUUAAAGUUGUUGCAGUUAAAAAGCUCGUAGUUGAAUUUCGGGGUUAGUAGGCUGGUCAUGCCACAGGUAUGCACUGGUCUUACUGAUUCCUCCUUCCUGAUGAACCGUAAUGCCAUUAAUUUGGUGUUGCGGGGAGUCUGGACUGUUACUUUGAAAAAAUUAGAGUGUUUAAAGCAGGCUAACGCUUGAAUACAUUAGCAUGGAAUAACGAAAUAGGGCGUUCGAUCUUAUUUUGUUGGUUUCUAGGAUUGACGUAAUGAUUAAUAGGGAUAGUUGGGGGCAUUAGUAUUCAAUUGUCAGAGGUGAAAUUCUUGGAUUUAUUGAAGACUAACUACUGCGAAAGCAUUUGUCAAGGAUGUUUUCAUUAAUCAAGAACGAAAGUUAGGGGAUCGAAGACGAUCAGAUACCGUCGUAGUCUUAACCAUAAACUAUGCCGACUAGGGAUCGGAUGAUGUUAAUUUUAUAAUGACUCAUUCGGCGCCUUACGGGAAAC